RNAcentral lists this ribosomal RNA (563 nucleotides) under uncultured crenarchaeote. RNAcentral's name for it is "bacterial SSU rRNA". It matches the Rfam family "Archaeal small subunit ribosomal RNA", at positions 908 to 1472 of the family's 1478-position model. The record is from RNAcentral. Lineage: Archaea; Thermoproteati; Thermoproteota.
GGAGUCACGCCAGAAUCUUACCCGGAGAGACAGCAGAAUGAAGGUCAAGCUGAAGACUUUACCAGACAAGCUGAGAGGUGGUGCAUGGCCGUCGCCAGCUCGUGCCGUGAGAUGUCCUGUUAAGUCAGGUAACGAGCGAGAUCCUCGCCACUAGUUGCUAUCAUUAUUCUCAGGAAUAGUGGGGCGAAUUAGUGGGACUGCCGUUGUUAAAACGGAGGAAGGAGGGGGCUACGGCAGGUCAGUAUGCCCCGAAACUCUGGGGCCACACGCGGGCUGCAAUGGUAGCGACAAUGAGCUCCAAACUCGAAAGAGAGUGGCAAUCUCUAAACGCUACCACAGUUAUGACUGAGGGCUGCAACUCGCCCUCACGAAUAUGGAAUCCCUAGUAACCGCGUGUCAUUACCGCGCGGUGAAUACGUCCCUGCUCCUUGCACACACCGCCCGUCGCUUCAUCGAAGUUUGCUUUUAGCGAGGUGAUGUUUAAUUGACAUUAUCGAACUUGAGGUAAGUGACGAGGGAAAAGUCGUAACAAGGUGACCGUAGGGGAACCUGCGGUCGGAUCA